Gasterosteus aculeatus aculeatus (three-spined stickleback) is the source of this 4598-nucleotide long non-coding RNA. The record is from Ensembl. NCBI's taxonomy places the organism in Eukaryota, Metazoa, Chordata, Actinopteri, Perciformes, Gasterosteidae.
AAGCUUUAAAUUCUUCUUUUGAGUGUCGAAUGGGCCGCAGCUUGUGUCUCCAUAAUGGAGACAGCCAAUGGUUUCUUGUCGUCAACAUUGCUCGUGGAUGGAAGCGCUGUGAUGGCUUGCAUCAUAAAAAGAGUUAGUUACGCGUGAGGGUGCCUAAGCUUCUUCUAUGAGUAGAAUAUGGCGUCCUUGAAGCUUGGUGAUGUAUUUAUUUCAUCUUUAAUAAUAUGUUUCCCUGAAAGAAGAUUCCCUGCAAUUCCAUGGUAUUUUAAUAUUUGAAAUAUGCUUCCGGUAAAAUAUUUGUUAAAUGUCUUUUUGAGGUGGAUAAUGGUUUGAAUGUGCCGUUGCCCUGCUAGCGAGCCCCAUUAUCUUGACUCCGAGCUCGACGGUUUCCCUCAAAGGACAUCAACGGCUGAAAGUGAACGUGGCAGGAUUUUGAAUAUCAAGCUUGAUCAGAUUGGAAAAGCGACGCAUUUGUCCUCCGUGUCGACCCCUUGUUGCCUCCGAUAAAAGCAAUUGGGAAGCGAGUGCUGAAUACACACUCGCUGGAUAUUUGUAGACAAAACCAUGUUGGCAACUGUAAAGUUCCGAAUGAAGUAAGCUUGUGUUUCUCCGAAUGUCUAAUGUAUCAGAACGUGAUGGUGUUUGGCCUGAACGACCCACAGAGGCAAUCUGAAAACCGCUCCCCGUGACUGCUGCUCAAUUCUCUUCCACUAUCAUCUCACAGGACAGCUUCCAACCGGCUUAAGAACAUUACAGAUAUUAAUACACGAGGAGUGUGUGGGGGCGAAAGCAAAUAUUUAUAAGUGGCCUUUUUUUUUUACACACUGGAUGAAAACUAUUUCUCUUCUGAGAUGGUCGUGGACGCGGUCGAUGCGUUAGGAUGACUGACUGAUUGCUUCGCAUGAACAAAAUGUUGUAUAGGUUUUCACUGGAGUAUUUAAGAUGUUGUGUAUGGGUGCUUCACUUGAGGCAGGUUUCACGUUACAUUCCAGUUCUUCAAUUUGACCAAAUCUGCAUUAAAACAAUUCCUCAAAGCCCCAUUUGUGUGAAACAAAACAUUGAAGAGAAUUGCGUGGUGGAGCUUGAAAUCCUGUUCUUUGUGUACAUUGCAACAAAACCUUAAAUCCCAGCCUAAUGUCUCCUUGAGGCACCCAUGUGGACAUUGUGUGCUUAAAACUGCUAGAUAGAGAUGAGGAUUGUGUCCCGUAAGUGGUUGACCUCCUCUCUGUCUGCGUAUCUAUUUGCUUCUAUUGUAAUUGUUCCAGAUUCAUUUCCAUGUGUCUUAUUACAGCCUAGGUGAUGUGAUAACACAAUUGUUGCAUCGCCCUGGCAGCCGUUUUUACAUCUUUUUCCAGAACUGACUCUGCUCAUUUGAGUUUUAGCAGUCGUCGGGCUUUAAAAAUGUGCUGCUGUUGUGAAAUCUCGCACUGGGCUGGGCCUAAUCAACUGUUUUUAUUGUUGUGUGUCAAGAGGACUAUUUCUGUAUACAGUAUGUGAAAAUGUUUUUAUUUCUCUUGACUAUAUUAUAAUGGGUUUUAACCUGUGGGAAAAAAAAAGGAAAAAGCUCAAAAAGAGAUAAGACCAAAUAAAAUGUAACACUCCUGAAUUGUUUGUCACCUUAUUCAUAUUAUCGCAGAAAAAGUGCUUUCAAAUCUGGGCUCAAUCAUUCAAGAAUGCUCAGAUGUCCCCUGAGUCUCUAUAAGGACAUACGUUUAUAUUUAACAUUUAAUUUAACUGUAUCCGUGUCAUUUUUAUAUAUGUUAAUUGUCUCUUAACUCACUUUCAGCUCUGGAAGCCCGGAGAGGGAUCCCUGAAACUUGUCAUAUCAAGUAAUUAUUUCAUGAUUUCCGGAUCAUCAUUCUGUGAUCAUAGGGAUGUUACAUUGAUUUUGUGAUUUUUAAAUUCUUUUGUUUCAACACGAUCACAUACAUUGUGAAAACAAGGUCCAUUUAGUAACUGUUCUGGAGCCUUCAGUCAUCAUUACACACUUCACUCUUCCCGGAAACGGGAAAUAUCACAAAUGUGUCUUAUGGCAAUCCAUCCAGCAGUUUUGCAAAUACUUUGAAUUGUAAUCCUUUGAUACAAAUGCUAUAUGGACCUGCCCUUGUCCUUUCUGCCUUUCUAUAAUCACCUCUGCAGGGCAGAUAUGAGCCAUUACCUUCAGCUGGCAGCUCCAGUUGAUAUUCAAUUGAAAACCAUCUCAAUCUUGGCACAGAAGCGAAAGGAAACAUUCUGUCAUUAUCAUAUUACACCAUCUUCUCAUAUCACUUACGGUCCAUCAAAUGGAAUGAAGGCUACCGUGGUUCAGUGAACACGUACACACCGUGUAUAUGUGUGCCACAUCUUCUAUUUCUGUACUGUAACUGUGGGUGGAGGCUUUUUGUCAGCAGUCAGAACUGCUGCUUUACAGCCACAGGCAGAUGAGGACCAGGUGAGGACGGCACCCUAAAACACACAUUCUGGACCACUUGUUCCCACAGGUGGAUGCACUCUUUUGGGGGAUUCUUGUGUCCACUGCAUUAGAACCUUGUCAUUGGGCCCUCAACUGGUCCGGCUGCGGGAUCCACCAUCACCGCUUAAUGACAAGCUGCGACCCAAAUCGAGGAAUCUUUUCACCUCUAAUUUGUUUAAUGAAAAAAUGUUGCACAGAGCCUGAGAUCGAACCGACAACCCUCUGAUUGGAGGACGACCAUGCUCCCCACUCACCCACAGUCGCUCCUGAGCAGUGCUUUCAUGCACAAACAUGAAAUAGUCCAACUACUUUACAACGUUUUAAUGCUGCAGUACACGUGGGCACAUAAACGUGCAUUUUGCUGAGUGCAUUUCAUUGUUAACUUUGAGGUGCAAAUACCCCAAACUGGAGGACGACUUUUUAUCUUAUUUUUAGUCUUCUAUUUUAUUCUUAUAUUGCACCAAGUCAAAUUCCUCUAUGUGUAACAUGUGUGGCAUUAAAUGGCUUCUGAUUCUUGCAUGUAUUUGUAUCUAGCUAAGCUCCGUGUUGGCCAUGACACCUAGCAAAGCAAUACAUUGAAAGAAGGAAAGCAGAAAAAUAACUGCGUGGCAUUCUUCUGAACACCAUGUAGGAGGCAAUUAAUAUUCAAGCCAUAUCUGGAUGCUUUCCCUUAUUUAAACUGCUGUGUAGCUCUUUGACAUUUGUUCUUGCUUCACAUCGGCCAAAGGGAGCUGGCGUGAAGGAGAAGCGGCUCCACCAGGACCAGAGAGGUGGACAGUGAGGCUGUGACAGAUGAGUACAAUCACAUAUGUCUUUAGACUGACCAUUUGUUGUCAAUUAAUGACAUUACUAGUGACUUAAUAGUGACUAAGAAGCCACGUAGGCUGUUGCAGUUUGGCCGGGUCUCGCAGUUGAACAGUAUUUCAGCACCGCAUCGUUAGUUAACUUUGUGGGUGUAAUGUUCUUACAACUCAUACCAAGGAACAUGUUAUUGAUGAUGGUAUUACAGUUGUGAACAUGACGUAUUGUUUUGUACUAGAGCCAAAUACGGCAUAUUCUGUAGAACAAGACAUUCUCCCAUGGACCCUGAGGUCUUACUUUUUCGCAUUAAUGUCAUUUUUCAAGCAUUUGUUCUGUGGCCGCCACAAAUAAUUCAAUGUUUGGGAAACCCUGCUAGCGUCCACAUUUGCUUUCUUUAAAAUGUCCCUAAGAAGAGUACCUCGCUUUGAAGCAAAUAUUACAUUGUAUUACCACUGUGGAAUUUUUAAGGCCCGUCACGUGAUGCCAUUAGGCAAAAAAUAACUUUUCCCAUAGAUUUACAUUUGAAAAUAAAGGGUCAAUAUUCUUGUAUAAGGAAAAGCAACUCCCCAAACAAAAAAACGUACGUAAAUGGCCCUCAUUGGUGAUGUAUUAAUGUAGAUUUCAACUUUGCCUGUACAGUACAAGCAAUGAUAAUAUCUUGUACUUUUUCAUAUUCAUUUGGCCACAUGGGCGCAGCGCUGACAUGUGAUGAUCAUCAUCUCAUCUCCUCAUGAAGCUGCAAUUGCAACAAACAUUGCAUAUUUGACAAACACAGAGCAACCUUGGCAAUCAUUUAGUAAAUUUUGUUUGUCUAUUAGCCCGGUAAGUACAACAUUUACUCUACUUUUAACUCUGUUUUGUUCCCUGGUUUUAGACUAUUGACAAAAAAAAGUGGCCCAUCAGAACCUGAAUGCUCUGUAAGCUUGUCGGUUAACAAAACAUUUUGUUUGUCGGCUGCCUAGCCUGCCUGAAUUUUUUUUACUGUUUAUUCUUAGAAUUAUAUAUACAGUAUGUGUGUUAUUCCAACUGUUUAGACCUUACGAUAACAAAUGUAGCAGUUACGCAUAAUGAAAUAGAAAACAAAUGGUAGAACAAGCAGUACUUUUACCGUCCUUUCACUGCGGACGACUAUGGAGCCAAAUCCAGGUCAAAAGUUUUGUUCAUUUGAAAAACAAAUGUGAACCUAAAAGUUCAAGUUUUGUUGUUGAACAUUGAAAAAUGUAUUCAAAAUAAAAAUAAGUGGACGAAAAAUAUUUUCGGGAUGAAUAUAGUUCUGACUCAGCUCUAUAUUUUUUUGGAAUAAAAUAUAUUUUUUCAAUCUUCACUUAUAUAUUUUUUUGAUACU